CCCAGACUCCUACGGGAGGCAGCAGUGGGGCCUCUUGCACAAUGGGCGCCCGCCUGAUGCAGCCCUGCCGCGUGUCUGCAGAAGGCCUUCGGGUUGUAAAGUCCUUUCAGCGGGGAGGCAGGUGUUGAGGUUCCUAGCCUCAGCCAUUGACGUUACCCGCAGAAGAAGCACCGGCUAACUCCGUGCCAGCAGCCGCGGUACUACGGAGGGUGCAAGCGUUAAUCGGAAUUACUGGGCGUAAAGCGCACGCAGGCGGUCUGUCAAUGCGGAUGUGAAAUCCCCGGGCUCAACCUGGGAACUGCAUUCGAAACUGGCAGGCUGGAGUCUUGUAGAGGGGGGUAGAAUUCCAGGUGUAGCGGUGAAAUGCGUAGAGAUCUGGAGGAAUACCGGUGGCGAAGGCGGCCCCCUGGACAAAGACUGACGCUCAGUUGCGAAAGCGUGGGGAGCAAACAGGAUUAGAUACCCUUGUAU
RNAcentral lists this ribosomal RNA (471 nucleotides) under uncultured bacterium. RNAcentral describes it as "bacterial SSU rRNA". It matches the Rfam family "Bacterial small subunit ribosomal RNA", at positions 330 to 793 of the family's 1533-position model. The record is from RNAcentral.